Molecule: ribosomal RNA, 497 nt
Filed under: uncultured bacterium
Lineage: Bacteria
Description: partial 16S ribosomal RNA
Rfam family: Bacterial small subunit ribosomal RNA
Source: RNAcentral
GAUGAACGCUGGCGGCGUGCCUAAUACAUGCAAGUCGAGCGAACGGACGAGAAGCUUGCUUCUCUGAUGUUAGCGGCGGACGGGUGAGUAACACGUGGAUAACCUACCUAUAAGACUGGGAUAACUUCGGGAAACCGGAGCUAAUACCGGAUGAUAUUUUGAACCGCAUGGUUCAAAAGUGAAAGACGGUCUUGCUGUCACUUAUAGAUGGAUCCGCGCUGCAUUAGCUAGUUGGUAAGGUAACGGCUUACCAAGGCAACGAUGCAUAGCCGACCUGAGAGGGUGAUUGGCCACACUGGAACUGAGGCACGGUCCAGACUCCUACGGGAGGCAGCAGUAGGGAAUCUUCCGCGAUGGGCGAAAGCCUGACGGAGCAACGCCGCGUGAGUGAUGAAGGUCUUCGGAUCGUAAAACUCUGUUAUUAGGGAAGAACAUAUGUGUAAGUAACUGUGCACAUCUUGACGGUACCUAAUCAGAAAGCCACGGCUAGCUACGUG